This 245-nucleotide ribosomal RNA is filed under the name uncultured bacterium. RNAcentral's name for it is "partial 16S ribosomal RNA". It matches the Rfam family "Bacterial small subunit ribosomal RNA", at positions 116 to 354 of the family's 1533-position model. The record is from RNAcentral.
CGUGGGUAACCUGCCCAAGAGACCUGGGAUAACACCUGGAAACAGAUGCUAAUACCGGAUAACAACACUAGACGCAUGUCUAGAGUUUAAAAGAUGGUUCUGCUAUCACUCUUGGAUGGACCUGCGGUGCAUUAGCUAGUUGGUAAGGUAACGGCUUACCAAGGCAAUGAUGCAUAGCCGAGUUGAGAGACUGAUCGGCCACAUUGGGACUGAGACACGGCCCAAACUCCUACGGAAGGCAGCAG